Molecule: microRNA precursor, 93 nt
Filed under: Felis catus (domestic cat)
Lineage: Eukaryota; Metazoa; Chordata; Mammalia; Carnivora; Felidae
Also listed under: 2 other names
Description: mir-544 microRNA precursor family
Rfam family: mir-544 microRNA precursor family
Source: Rfam by way of RNAcentral
AUCACCUGGGGAUCUUGUUAAAAUGUGGAUUCUGAGUAGGUCUGGGGUGGGGCUUGAGAUUCUACUUUUCUAACAUGAUCCCAGUGAUGCUAA